CCUACGGGUGGCAGCAGUGGGGGAUAUUGCACAAUGGGGGAAACCCUGAUGCAGCGACGCCGCGUGUGGGAAGACGGUCCUCUGGAUUGUAAACCACUGUCCCCAGGGACGAAGAUGACGGUACCUGGGGAGGAAGCUCCGGCUAACUACGUGCCAGCAGCCGCGGUACUACGUAGGGAGCGCGCGUUGUCCGGAAUUACUGGGUGUAAAGGGAGCGUAGGCGGGUCUGCAAGUUGGGUGUAAAAUCUACCGGCUCAACCGGUAGCCGCACUCAAAACUGCAGUUCUUGAGUGAAGUAGAGGCAGGCGGAAUGCCUGGUGUAGCGGUGAAAUGCGUAGAUAUUAGGAGGAACACCAGUGGCGAAGGCGGCCUGCUGGGCUUUUACUGACGCUGAGGCUCGAAAGUGUGGGGAGCAAACAGGAUUAGAUACCCGGGUAGUC
This 440-nucleotide ribosomal RNA is filed under the name uncultured bacterium. Its description in RNAcentral is "partial 16S ribosomal RNA". It matches the Rfam family "Bacterial small subunit ribosomal RNA", at positions 338 to 795 of the family's 1533-position model. The record is from RNAcentral.